GACAGCAGUCCGACAACCCUUGAGAGAGGUUGUAGUGGAUACCACUGCUUACUGAGUUAACACAAGGAAAAUGGUGGUGAAUGGCUUUCUCAGACCUAUGGAAUACUGACUUUGCUCUUGGUUAGGCUCUGGCAUUGAAGAUAAAUCAUCAUUAUGAGACAUAAGGAACCUCUGCAUCGCUUGGCUCUUGGUUGGCUCUGGAAUUCCUGAUUUGGAAUUCAUUUGGAUUAACUACGCGGGAUCAUUGCAAUUUGAAACCAAAAGCCAGACUUCUUGGUGUGCUUGGGCUCCUUCCCACGACCUGUUGACUUGGUUCUUCUCUGAAACACUGUGGAUAUUAUACAUAAUAGAGACAGAGAGACAGAGAGAAAGAGAAAGAGAGAUAGAGAGAGAGAGAGAGAGAGAGAGAGAGAGAGAGAGAGAGAGAGAGAGGUCAGGCCUGACAGGCAGCAGUCAAAGGAAACUUCCUGUAGUUCUGUGGCAGAGUGUUUGAGCCGGCUUACCAGAAUAAAUAAUUACUGUACGUUAUUAUAAGGCAUGAACUCCCUUUCAAAGAGCACAAAGAGCAGGGGGAAGCAGCGACAGUGUUCUGCCGGAGACGGUGUUGACGCGGCCCUAUAUUGCCCCCUCCAUGGGGUACGGCUCGGCCAUCUCUGAGAUAUGGAUGGCCAAUGGUGGGACCAUGCAUCUUGGCAUAGCGAGGCCUUGUCUAUGCACCCGAUGACAUGGCAACCGUCCAAAGAUGGCGAGCGCCUGAUUGGGCGGAUUAUACUAAACAAGAGGAUGAAGGAUGGAACGGUGCCCCGAGACACAGGAGCUCUGCUGGGACU
This is a long non-coding RNA of Oncorhynchus tshawytscha (Chinook salmon), 830 nucleotides long. RefSeq lists it as uncharacterized. The record is from RefSeq and is a predicted model, not a curated record. Lineage: Eukaryota; Metazoa; Chordata; Actinopteri; Salmoniformes; Salmonidae. The transcript has 3 exons.